Molecule: ribosomal RNA, 253 nt
Filed under: uncultured bacterium
Lineage: Bacteria
Description: partial 16S ribosomal RNA
Rfam family: Bacterial small subunit ribosomal RNA
Source: RNAcentral
UACAGAGGGGGCAAGCGUUGUUCGGAAUUACUGGGCGUAAAGGGCGCGUAGGCGGUCGUGCAAGUCGGAUGUGAAAUCUCGGGGCUCAACCCCGAAACUGCAUUCGAUACUGCGUGGCUCGAGUACUGGAGAGGAGACUGGAAUUUACGGUGUAGCAGUGAAAUGCGUAGAUAUCGUAAGGAAGACCAGUGGCGAAGGCGAGUCUCUGGACAGUUACUGACGCUGAGGCACGAAGGCCAGGGGAGCAAACGGG